GUUUGCGACAAUAACAUGUAGGAAACACCGAUUCUCGUCAGAAUGCCGAAGUUAGGCAACGUCGGACCCGGGUAGUACGAGUAUGUUUGACCGGCCCGGAAUAUCGGGUGGUGCGGCCG
This 119-nucleotide ribosomal RNA is filed under the name Echinostoma caproni. The record is from RNAcentral. Lineage: Eukaryota; Metazoa; Platyhelminthes; Trematoda; Plagiorchiida; Echinostomatidae.